CUCGCCAGGGAACUACAAGCAUAAGCUUAAAACCCAAAGGACUUGGCGGUGCUUUAGAUCCACCUAGAGGAGCCUGUUCUAGAACCGAUAACCCCCGUUCAACCUCACCCUCCCUUGCCUCUCCCGCCUAUAUACCACCGUCGUCAGCUUACCCUAUGAAGGCCCCAUAGUAAGCAAAAUUGGUAUAGCCCAAAACGUCAGGUCGAGGUGUAGCGUACGAGAGGGGAAGAAAUGGGCUACAUUUACUGAUACAGUAUACACGAACGAUGAAUUGAAAUAAACAUCUGAAGGAGGAUUUAGCAGUAAGGAGGAAAACAGAGCGUUCCCCUGAAACCGGCCCUGAAGCGCGCACACACCGCCCGUCACUCUCCCCAAGCCACACUUCACCCGUAAAUAAAACCCAACAAUUGCAAAGGGGAGGCAAGUCGUAACAUGGUAAGUGUACCGGAAGGUGCACUUGGAAAAAU
This 467-nucleotide ribosomal RNA is filed under the name Mogurnda sp. NMBE 1066568. RNAcentral describes it as "partial 12S ribosomal RNA". It matches the Rfam family "Bacterial small subunit ribosomal RNA", at positions 868 to 1533 of the family's 1533-position model. The record is from RNAcentral. Lineage: Eukaryota; Metazoa; Chordata; Actinopteri; Gobiiformes; Eleotridae.